UCCUUGGUGGCCUAGUGGUUAGGACUCGGCACUGUCACUGCCGUGGCACUGGCUCAAACCCUGAUCGGGGAA
Molecule: transfer RNA, 72 nt
Filed under: Haemonchus contortus (barber pole worm)
Lineage: Eukaryota; Metazoa; Nematoda; Chromadorea; Rhabditida; Trichostrongylidae
Description: tRNA, Asp
Rfam family: tRNA
About the family: Transfer RNA (tRNA) molecules are approximately 80 nucleotides in length. Their secondary structure includes four short double-helical elements and three loops (D, anti-codon, and T loops).
Source: RNAcentral